GUUUCUUUGGCAGUGUCUUAGCUGGUUGUUGUGAGUAAUAGUGCGGGAAGCAAUCAGCAAGUAUACUGCCUUAGAACU
Molecule: non-coding RNA, 78 nt
Organism: Equus caballus (horse)
Lineage: Eukaryota; Metazoa; Chordata; Mammalia; Perissodactyla; Equidae
Source: Rfam